CAUGUUUCUUCAUGGUGGGACUCUUAUUUUGAAAACCGGACACAGCUCGUCGAAGAAUGCUUGGAAAAGGUGGAUGUCUGUUUGUUCAGCGGCAUCCUGAGGAUGCAUAAGAAUCAGCUCCACCAAUUUGAGGAUUGCAAGAACUGAAGUAUGCAAGCUAUAUGUAGAAAUCACAUCAUUUUACUGUACCUCUACCCAGACCAUCAGUACACCCAGGUGGAAGUUGUUGGAUUUAUACGAUUCCCUCGCUGCGUUUACUCCUCCACACCACCAGAGCAGUCAUGAGCAGCGUCACCAGAAUGGGCACCACGAUAAAAGGCCCCAGGAUCCGAUUGGGCGGGUCGUGAAGCAGCCGUCCAGACAGUGAGCAGUCAUGGAAGUAAUGCCUGUGCACCCGGAUGAAGAACUCGUCCACCAUGCGGUUGGGCCAGAAACAGUUCAUCUUUAGAGCCACCAGGAACGUGCAGUUGGUCAGUUCCCCAUACGACCUUUAGGAGGACAAAUUAUAGAAUAAUGUCAAGAGCACAUCUAAAUGAGCAAUGAUAAAGAUGCAUUUAAUGUCAUUCAAAUAUCAAAGUAAAAUAGAUAUCAAAGUACUUUUACUUUUUACUACUCUCAGAAAAAUAAAUUACGAUAAAGCUUAUUGAAGUUGAAGAUUAUUGAAUAACGACAAAGUUUACUGCUUGUACCCUUUUAAAUUUAGUUAAUAUCUCUUUCAUUUUAAUGUACAGUAUGUUGUCAGAUUCAAAUCAAAUACUAUUAGAUUAAAUCAAUUAAUGGAUAUGGUAUAAAUAUAUCUGGCUGUAAAAAAAAAACCUGGAUCCAAUUAGUUAAAUUCUAUGAGAUUGGUUUUCUUAAUAUUCAGGGGCAAAAUUGGCACAACUUCAUACUCCACACAAUAGAUGAAUUAAAAAGAAGCAUUUAAAACACAUUGAAUUCAUUGAUAUUAUUACAAAAGUCUCAUUCUUAUUUGUUAAAUUUAGGUUUACUUACUCCCAGGGCUGUUUAUACAGUUGAUAACGGAAUUAUUAGCC
Molecule: long non-coding RNA, 1034 nt
Filed under: Danio rerio (zebrafish)
Lineage: Eukaryota; Metazoa; Chordata; Actinopteri; Cypriniformes; Danionidae
Description: si:dkey-253e1.1 (ENSDARG00000093211.4)
Source: RNAcentral